UGGUUCUGGCAUCGAUGAAGAACGCAGCGAAAUGCGAUAAGUAGUGUGAAUUGCAGACUUUAGUGAAUCAUCGAAUCUUUGAACGCACAUUGCGCCCCUUGGUACUCCAUCGGGCAUGCCUGUUCGAGCGUCAUUUUCACCCUCAAGCCCAGCUUGGUGUUGGGCACUCGUCCGCGGCGUUGCACGCCAGGACCUGCCCCAAAUGCAUUGGCGGCAGGCGUGUCGGCCCCGAGCGCAGCACAUCGCGUCUCUCGGGCGCCCCGCGCCGGCCCCCACAAGACGACCUCUCGAUGGACCUCGAAUCAGGUAGGGAUACCCGCUGA
RNAcentral lists this unclassified non-coding RNA (323 nucleotides) under uncultured fungus. Its description in RNAcentral is "partial contains 5.8S ribosomal RNA and internal transcribed spacer 2". The stretch from base 1 to 133 matches the Rfam family "5.8S ribosomal RNA", at positions 22 to 154 of the family's 154-position model. The record is from RNAcentral. Lineage: Eukaryota; Fungi.